Long non-coding RNA from Dermacentor silvarum, 650 nucleotides. RefSeq lists it as uncharacterized. Lineage: Eukaryota; Metazoa; Arthropoda; Arachnida; Ixodida; Ixodidae. The record is from RefSeq and is a predicted model, not a curated record. The transcript has 3 exons.
CCAGUGACUGAUGCCACGCAUAUGCUGCAGAUCCUCCAAAACAGUGCUCCAAGUUCUGCUAUUGCAGUAUUCAAAAAACGCAGAAGAGGGCAAAACAGCUCCACAACAGAGUCUCGGACCAAGAAUGCUAAACAAGCCUGCCGUUCCGCCCCACUUCCCAUGUUGGAAAUGAUGAGGGUUCAAGCAACUCAACUGAAGCAGAAGGCACCGGAAGAAGUCAUGUUGCAUGUGUGUGAACUAUAUGGUGGAGAGCGUGCUAGGAGUGAGAUUGAAUCCUUGACACGGGGACAGUCGAAUUCUCCAGAAUGGCACAGAUAUCGAAAGGGCCUGGUAACUGCGAGCAUUGCUCAUGCUUGUAUGACUCGCGCGAAGACUUUUCUUCGUUCGAAAGGUGCGGCCAACAUUGAUCCAUUUCUUAUGCUUAUUUUAAGAAGCAGAACUAUUACAACACCAGCAAUGCAUGUUGGGAUUACGAAGGAAAGUGCAGCGCGUGCUGCUUACAAAACAUGGCAAGAGGCACUGGGGCACACACUGGAAGUGCGCCAGAGAGGGCUCGUUUUGUUCGAGGAGUUUCCCUUCAUAGGCUGUUCCCCCGACGGCGUUGCAAGUUUUUCGUGCAAAUGCUGCGAGGGCAAGGAAGUCCUCUUGGA